CCUACGGGAGGCAGCAGUGGGGAAUAUUGCACAAUGGGGGCAACCCUGAUGCAGCGACGCCGCGUGAGUGAAGAAGUCUUUCGGUAUGUAAAGCUCUAUCAGCAGGGAAGAAAAUGACGGUACCUGUUCAAGUAGGCCCGUCUAACUACGUUCCAGCAGCCGCGGUAAUACGUAGGGGGCGAGCGUUAUCCGGAUUUACUGGGUGUAAAGGGAGCGUAGACGGCAGGACAAGUCAGGAGUGAAAUGCCGGGGCUCAACCCCGGAACUGCUUUGGAAACUGUGCAGCUAGAGUGCAGGAGAGGUAGGCGGAAUUCCUGGUGUAGCGGUGAAAUGCGUAGAUAUUAGGAGGAACACCGGUGGCGAAGGCGGCUUACUGGACUGUAACUGACGUUGAGGCUCGAAAGCGUGGGGAGCAAACAGGAUUAGAUACCCGGGUAGUC
RNAcentral lists this ribosomal RNA (440 nucleotides) under uncultured bacterium. RNAcentral's name for it is "partial 16S ribosomal RNA". It matches the Rfam family "Bacterial small subunit ribosomal RNA", at positions 338 to 795 of the family's 1533-position model. The record is from RNAcentral.